AUCGAGCUGACGAGUCCUAAAUAGGAUCAGACGCGCGUCCUGGAU
This 45-nucleotide non-coding RNA is filed under the name Schistosoma mansoni. Lineage: Eukaryota; Metazoa; Platyhelminthes; Trematoda; Strigeidida; Schistosomatidae. The record is from RNAcentral.